Molecule: ribosomal RNA, 253 nt
Filed under: uncultured bacterium
Lineage: Bacteria
Description: partial 16S ribosomal RNA
Rfam family: Bacterial small subunit ribosomal RNA
Source: RNAcentral
AACAGAGGGAAGCAAGACCGCGAGGUGGAGCAAAUCCCUAAAAGCCAUCCCAGUUCGGAUUGCAGGCUGCAACCCGCCUGUAUGAAGUUGGAAUCGCUAGUAAUCGCGGAUCAGCAUGCCGCGGUGAAUACGUUCCCGGGCCUUGUACACACCGCCCGUCAAGCCAUGGGAGCCGGGGGUGCCUGAAGUUCGUGACCGCAAGGAGCGACCUAGGGCAAAACUGGUGACUGGGGCUAAGUCGUAACAAGGUACC